RNAcentral lists this transfer-messenger RNA (112 nucleotides) under Halomonas sp. RNAcentral's name for it is "partial transfer-messenger RNA". It matches the Rfam family "transfer-messenger RNA", at positions 1 to 111 of the family's 374-position model. Rfam says of the family: Bacterial tmRNA, also known as 10Sa RNA or SsrA, is named for its dual tRNA and mRNA-like properties. Its role is to liberate the mRNA from a stalled ribosome. To accomplish this part of the tmRNA is used as a reading frame that ends in a translation stop signal. The record is from RNAcentral. Lineage: Bacteria; Pseudomonadati; Pseudomonadota; Gammaproteobacteria; Oceanospirillales; Halomonadaceae.
GGGGGCGACAUGGUUUCGACGCCGGUGACAAACCCUGCGGUGCAUGCCGAGAGCGUGAUGUAUCUCGUAAAUACCACAUCACGAAAAAUAGUCGCAAACGACGAAAACUACG